This 106-nucleotide small nucleolar RNA is filed under the name Plasmodium yoelii. RNAcentral's name for it is "snoRNA PY17X_0919500". It matches the Rfam family "small nucleolar RNA snoR13". Lineage: Eukaryota; Apicomplexa; Aconoidasida; Haemosporida; Plasmodiidae. The record is from RNAcentral.
UUUGUGAAUGAUGAUAAAAUUCUCAAUGUUCGCAGUUGAGAGUUAAACAACUCUAUGAAGUUUUUUUCACGUAGCCUUCACUUAGAUGUCUGACACAAAAAAUUUU